Monodelphis domestica (gray short-tailed opossum) is the source of this 779-nucleotide long non-coding RNA. RefSeq lists it as uncharacterized. NCBI's taxonomy places the organism in Eukaryota, Metazoa, Chordata, Mammalia, Didelphimorphia, Didelphidae. The record is from RefSeq and is a predicted model, not a curated record.
UUGGAAAUGCCAUUUUUAUUUAAGUGGUAUCUCCUCUGACCAGAACUUUGGAUGUUAAAAGAAUGUGGCCAUCGCCAGGCUCUCGCCUCAUCCCUGGCUCUACAUGAUGACUGAUGAUGGUGACGAUGAUGCUAAUGAAGGCUGGCAUUUAUAUGCUUCAGAAGAGGCAAGCAUCUCUUAUAAUAGAAUUCCACCUGUCAGUGAGACCGAUUCCUGUAGGGGAAUUGUUUUGUGGGGCCAGAGGACCUUCUUCACACCCCUGUAAUCAUGGAAAUUCCAUUCCCAAAUGAACUGGAGGAAUUCCAUGGGAACUGGAACAACCUCCAGGAAUUGAUGCAGAGUGAGAGGAGCAGAACCAGGAGAACAUUGUACACAGAGACUGAUACACUGUGGUACAAUAGAAUGUAAUGGACUUCUCUACUAGCAGCAAUGAAGUGAUCCAGAACUAUUUGGAGGGACUUCUGAGAAAGAACCCUAACCACAUCCAGAGAAAGAACUGUGGGAGCAGAAACACAGAAGAAAAACAACUGCCUGAUCACAUGGGUUGAGGGGAUAUGAUUGGGGAUGCGGACUCUAAGUGAUCAUUCUAGUGCAAAUAUCAAUAAUAUGGAAAUAGGUCUUAAUCAAUGACACAUGUAAAACCCAGUGGAAUUGUGCAUCAGUUAUGGUGGGGGGAGGGGAAGAGAAUAGGAGGGAAAGAACAUGAAUCAUGUAACCAUGGAAAAAUAUUCUAAGUUAAUUAAACAAAAAUUUUCAAUAAAAAAUUCCUUUCCCAGAAG